GACGAACGCUGGCGGCGUGCCUAAUACAUGCAAGUCGAGCGGAACUGGGGGAGCUUGCUCCUUCCAGUUUAGCGGCGGACGGGUGAGUAACACGUGGGCAACCUGCCCUGCAGAUCGGGAUAACUCCGGGAAACCGGUGCUAAUACCGAAUAGUUUGGCGCCUCCCCUGAGGCGCUACGGAAAGACGGUUUUGGCUGUCACUGCAGGAUGGGCCCGCGGCACAUUAGCUAGUUGGUGGGGUAACGGCCCACCAAGGCGACGAUGCGUAGCCGACCUGAGAGGGUGACCGGCCACCCUGGGACUGAGACACGGCCCAGACUCCUACGGGAGGCAGCAGUAGGGAAUCUUCCGCAAUGGACGCAAGUCUGACGGAGCAACGCCGCGUGAGUGACGAAGGUUUUCGGAUCGUAAAACUCUGUUGUGAGGGAAGAACACGUACCAACUAACUAUUGGUACCUUGACGGUACCUCGCCAGAAAGCCACGGCUAACUACGUGCCAGCCGCCGCCGUAA
Molecule: ribosomal RNA, 512 nt
Filed under: uncultured bacterium
Lineage: Bacteria
Description: partial 16S ribosomal RNA
Rfam family: Bacterial small subunit ribosomal RNA
Source: RNAcentral